GCUCUUAAGAGCCACUUCAAUAGACCCUUUUACAGCCCACGUGAUCAAAUAGCCUGCUUGGCAUUUUGGCAACGGAAGUGAUGUUAUUUCCCAGUGGUUCUAACGUGUAAGCAACUCAGAAAGUUUAUUAAAACGAUUUCCCCACAUCAAAACGUCUGGUUGUAGCAUUUGGUUGCACUAAUAUAAUAUACGUUUUGUAUUUGGCCAUCUUCUAACGUCUUCUAUCCACUCCACUAUAGUACACGGAUCAGGUAACUAUGUAGAAGAUAAGUCAACUUUUUAAACUAACUUUCUCUGUCUGUGUUGCUUCACUGCUGAUUCUUGCCGUGCUUCCGUUGCAAAACUGCGUGCACAUACGUUGCCAUGUCAUCAUUGUGUACAAACAGUAAAAGGGUCACUCAUUCACUCUUUCGCAAGCUUCUCUGUUUUCAAUAUUGUUGAAAUGGCUGCUGAGCAAGACAGAGGGAGAGCAGAGGAUGUUAUCUUCAUAGCAAACAUGCUUCUUGCUCAAAUCAAGGCAGAGGAACCCAAGGGCAAAGCAACAGCCAUUAAAGGGAGUACAUUUAAUGUCAGAUAGGUGGAGAAAAUGCUGAAGGACGUCCACUACUAAAAAGAAGCAGAAGUGAAGAGAUACAAAGCUUCAGCUACAGUCUGUUUAUUGCCUACAGUGAGACCUGCAAAUUUCUGCACUUGUGAUCAUGCAAACAUCCAGUGUAGAGCACUUCACCUGCCCGGCAUGUACACCCAACAAUGCUCGCUCUUUGUGCAGAUGGCAACAGAAAAACCUACAGAUUCCGUCAGUCAAAAGAAAGGAGCUUCAAGCAGCCACAAACGGAGAGUUCUUUUGAACAGAUAUUGCUUGCAAGUAUUGGCCAUACCUUGAGAAGGCGUCAGUCUCCAUGUUGGAACUCAGACCUUUACUGCAGAUGAGACCUUUCCUUUCUGUCAUGCAUGCCAAGGCUCAUUCAUCCAAGUGUCAGGUGCCACACAUUUGUUAGAUAAUCUGGCAAAAAUCAGGAAGGUGCUGGUACAACUGCAGUUGAGGAGGUCAAAAUGGUCAACAGCUACCUGUCUCGUUGUGGCCUCAAAACCAAGUAUCUAAUUGAUGCCUAUUUAUAAUAUUUUAGGAAACCUGUCUUUAUUUUUUCACUUUUUUAUUCUUUCUGUCUAGUACUUUGAGAUUGCAUAAGAGUAAGCUGUAACUGUUCAAAGUACAUAAAAAAAUUGGCAUGUAGUUCUCUCUUAAAUUUUAAACUCAAUUGUCAGUUUCUGGAUUAAUUGAAAUACCACAAGCAUUAAUGGGACCUUUCUUCCUUCAUCACAUACAUGUCUUGUUAAUAGCCAGGAAUGACAUGCUAACUGUCCAUGCUAUUGGGUGGAACCAACGGAAGCAAGAAGGCCUUCAGCAUUAUCCAGCAGAUACAUCAAGAAAGGCUGAGUCUCAGAGACGGGAAGAUUUGAGCAGUGAACUGGGGUGUCCUGAGAACAUUGUGAAUCAUUGGGUACAAGAUGUCAGACAAAAGGCUACUGAUGGAUUUGGUAGGUACCAGAUGUGAUGACCUACAUAACCUUCAGAAAUGAAUUGAACAAAUGUUUCUUAGUCUUCAUCGAAAAGCCAGCCUUUAUAAUCACACUGAAAUCCAGCAACACCCUCACCAAGAAGAUUUUUUUGAUGUGUACAUGUCAAAAGUGCGCCUUCAAGAAGCAAAGAUCAUUGUGAUGAGGGAGAAGAGACACCACUGCACCGCACCUAUCUCAGAAGCCUGGCUAGGAACAUCAGAAAAAUGAUUUCAGAAAUGUCUUCAGGCAAAAACAGUGGCAGUUUAAGUGAAGAGUGUCAUCGCUGGCUACUGUGUCGUCUUCAGAAAAGGCUUGCAGAUGUAGAGAAGAAGUUCUAAGUUUGCUCAAGUUACAGCCAGGCUUUAGGACGAUGUUCUUCACUCCCAACCCUGGAGAGCCGGUGUCCUGCAGACUUUAGCUCCAACCUUAAUCGAACACACCUGAAAGCUAAUCAAUGUCUUCAUGAUCUCUAGAAAAUCACAGGUACGUGUGUUUGAUUAAGGUUGGAGCUAAGCUCCGCAGGACACCGGCUCUCCAGGAUUGGGAGUGAAGAACACUGCUUUAGGACCUAAUGCUGUUUCUCUGCUGGAGGAUGAGCCCGAGGAGAUACUGGAGGACCAUGAAGAGCUGGAUUAUGAGAGUUCAGAUGACAUUUUGGAUUUGGAACUCUGAACUGGUGUAUGCAUUUAGACUGUGUGUCACACUGAACUGCAGGUGUGUUUCAUGGAAAACAUAACUAUUUGGAAAUGUCAUGGAUGUCUGAUACAGUGCUUUUAUUUUAGACAACUGUUUCCUGCAGUGUGUAAGCAACAUUAGCCUCAUAGAUUGAUGGGAAACUACUGUUAAAUAAGUUUUUGUAUGAUAAUCCAUAUCUCCGUUUACAUGCAGCAGGUUAGCUAUUAGGUUUCCCCUCCACCUCCGAUGUUUCACAGACUACUCCUACAGUCAACUGUGUUGCUACAACUUGCAAAUGCCACAAUCCUCUUCAGUUCAGUUCAGUUUAUUAAAGUUGCAUCUCAUAUCAUAUUUACAUACAAUGCAAGAGCAAAAAUCUUAGGUCUACCACACCUUUUGACCAACAACAGUUCCAAACAUUAAAAGACAAUGCAGUGGUUACUUCACCAAACUGUGCCCAUAUCAUCUUGUCAACAUAAUGACAUUUACUGUAGAAAAAUAUGUAACACAGGCAAAAUAGAUUUGCACAUGUUACUAUUAUUGUUAUAUAGUUUUAUACUGUAUAAAGUUUUUUCACAGUGAUUGUGGAUACUUUUGGAUUGAACUAACUGUAGCCUAUGUCAUUGGAUGAAAUAAUUUCCAUAAAUGACUGAUCAAUAGCAUACCCAUAUUUGAUGCAUGAGUUAAUACUGUUGUUACGUUUUCAAUGAAAGGAAAUGUUUUACAAUGCCAUGUUCUUGAGGUAAUUAUUAAACU
Molecule: long non-coding RNA, 2991 nt
Organism: Paramisgurnus dabryanus
Lineage: Eukaryota; Metazoa; Chordata; Actinopteri; Cypriniformes; Cobitidae
Source: RefSeq, a predicted model, not a curated record